This 77-nucleotide transfer RNA is filed under the name Hyphomicrobiales bacterium. RNAcentral's name for it is "tRNA-Arg". It matches the Rfam family "tRNA". From Rfam's summary of the family: Transfer RNA (tRNA) molecules are approximately 80 nucleotides in length. RNAcentral also lists the same sequence under 2 other names. Lineage: Bacteria; Pseudomonadati; Pseudomonadota; Alphaproteobacteria; Hyphomicrobiales. The record is from RNAcentral.
GGCCUCGUAGCUCAGCUGGAUAGAGCACCGGACUUCUAAUCCGACGGUCGCAGGUUCGAAUCCUGCCGAGGUCACCA